GCCCUCUUGGCUCAGUUGGUUAGAGCGCUGGUCUCAUGCGCUGGUAUGAGUCGUCGUGGCACGAAUUAAUCCAGAGGUCGCAAGUCCGAUCCUUGCAGAGGGCA
This 104-nucleotide transfer RNA is filed under the name Leucoagaricus sp. SymC.cos. It matches the Rfam family "tRNA". Rfam says of the family: Transfer RNA (tRNA) molecules are approximately 80 nucleotides in length. The record is from Rfam by way of RNAcentral. Lineage: Eukaryota; Fungi; Basidiomycota; Agaricomycetes; Agaricales; Agaricaceae.